GCCAGCGUGGCGUAGUGGCUAGACUGUUGGACUAGGACUCUGAAGAGCAGGGUUCGAAUCCUGGCUCAGCCA
Non-coding RNA from Phrynosoma platyrhinos (Desert horned lizard), 72 nucleotides. The record is from the annotation of a GenBank genome assembly. NCBI's taxonomy places the organism in Eukaryota, Metazoa, Chordata, Lepidosauria, Squamata, Phrynosomatidae.